AAAACGGAAAUAGAAUGCUUUUUCUAGGCGUAAACCGGCGCACGGUUGAGUAACGCGUAUCCAACCUGCCCAUCACUUGGGGAUAACCUUGCGAAAGUAAGACUAAUACCCAAUGAUAUCUCUAGAAGACACCUGAAGGAGAUUAAAGAUUCAUCGGUGAUGGAUGGGGAUGCGUCUGAUUAGCUUGUUGGCGGGGUAACGGCCCACCAAGGCUACGAUCAGUAGGGGUUCUGAGAGGAAGGUCCCCCACAUUGGAACUGAGACACGGUCCAAACUCCUACGGGAGGCAGCAGUGAGGAAUAUUGGUCAAUGGACGAGAGUCUGAACCAGCCAAGUAGCGUGCAGGAUGACGGCCCUAUGGGUUGUAAACUGCUUUUAUAAGGGAAUAAAGUGAGCCUCGUGAGGCUUUUUGCAUGUACCUUAUGAAUAAGGACCGGCUAAUUCCGUGCCAGCAGCCGCGGUAAUACGGAAGGUCCGGGCGUUAUCCGGAUUUAUUGGGUUUAAAGGGAGCGUAGGCCGGAGAUUAAGCGUGUUGUGAAAUGUAGAUGCUCAACAUCUGCACUGCAGCGCGAACUGGUUUCCUUGAGUACGCACAAAGUGGGCGGAAUUCGUGGUGUAGCGGUGAAAUGCUUAGAUAUCACGAAGAACUCCGAUUGCGAAGGCAGCUCACUGGAGCGCAACUGACGCUGAAGCUCGAAAGUGCGGGUAUCGAACAGGAUUAGAUA
This 725-nucleotide ribosomal RNA is filed under the name uncultured Bacteroidota bacterium. RNAcentral describes it as "bacterial SSU rRNA". It matches the Rfam family "Bacterial small subunit ribosomal RNA", at positions 64 to 784 of the family's 1533-position model. Lineage: Bacteria; Pseudomonadati; Bacteroidota. The record is from RNAcentral.